This is a non-coding RNA of Pelobates cultripes (western spadefoot toad), 489 nucleotides long. The record is from the annotation of a GenBank genome assembly. NCBI's taxonomy places the organism in Eukaryota, Metazoa, Chordata, Amphibia, Anura, Pelobatidae.
AUCAGGUUAUUCAUUAAAGUGAGAAUUGUUGAUAGUUGAAAGAAUUUAAGAUUUAUGUCCAAAGUUACCAAUUUGGAAACCUGGCUGACUAGUUGAAUAUUUACAGAAAUGUUAUAUUCUCCCUUUAAUGACUGAACCCGGUAUGUUUCAGUGAUGGAGUGAAGGUGUAAUGUUUUCGGAAUUAAGCUGCGGCGGGUUGGUGGCUGGGAGCAGUUUAUGGAACGGUGGAUGGUUGACUGUAAGCGGUGUGUUGGCUGGCUGGGAGUAGUGGCUGGCUGGGAGUAGUGGCAGUCUUGGAGCGGUGUGUGGCUGGCUGGGAGCGGUGUGUGGCUGGCUGGGAGUAGUGGCAGUCUGUGAGCGGUGUGUGGCUGGCUGGGAGUAGUGGCAGUCUGGGAGCGGUGUGUGGCUGGCUGUGAGUAGAGGCAGUCUGUGAGAGGUGUGUGGCUGGCUGGGAGUAGUGGCAGUCUGGGAGCGGUGUGUGGCUGGCUG